GGUCUGCACCCGCGGCACAGUCAGGUCCACCGCCACCGCCACCGCCACCUGAAACGAUGACGACACUUUCGGGUUCUGCAGUUCGGCCCACGUACGUGCCGCGACCGGCACAUUUGUACUCGGCAGCGCCCGGCUCGUCGCUGUUUCCGUCGAUGGAUCCCUACGGCGCUGGAUCUUCGUCUCUUCGUCGUCCAAUACACGAUUUAGAGUACCGGUAGGUGGGAGGGACAGACGACGAUGAGGAGAUUCAGGAGGUAGACGACCUCGCGCAGAUGGAGUGGGUGAACACGUUCUUCUCUUCUGCACCGACGCAGGAGGUCGUCGGCACUUCACAGCUGGGGGGUGCCCCACUCGCGACGCAGGACUACAGUCAGGUGGAACAGACGCCUGUUCCUGAGCAGGGUCGUCGGUCCACUCGCCAGACCAUCCCGCCGGAGCCACUGACGUACUCACAGCACCACACUAGGGCGGGCCAGGCUGCAGAGCGACGUGGCAGGAGG
Long non-coding RNA from Panicum virgatum (switchgrass), 500 nucleotides. RefSeq lists it as uncharacterized. Lineage: Eukaryota; Viridiplantae; Streptophyta; Magnoliopsida; Poales; Poaceae. The transcript has 3 exons. The record is from RefSeq and is a predicted model, not a curated record.